Molecule: non-coding RNA, 75 nt
Organism: Myotis lucifugus (little brown bat)
Lineage: Eukaryota; Metazoa; Chordata; Mammalia; Chiroptera; Vespertilionidae
Source: Rfam
GGCAGUUCUAAGGUGACACACCCCAGAAUUGGACUCCCUCCUCUCUGGUUCCAGGUACGUCAUUCGAGAAUCACC